This 927-nucleotide long non-coding RNA is filed under the name Oryzias javanicus (javanese ricefish). RNAcentral's name for it is "lncRNA (ENSOJAG00000005216.1)". Lineage: Eukaryota; Metazoa; Chordata; Actinopteri; Beloniformes; Adrianichthyidae. The record is from RNAcentral.
GUUAUUGUCCAUGAGAUGGGGCAGAGAGGGAAAGUUUUGGCUUGUCUUCUGUCUAUUUUUAUUUAUUUUUAUUGUUUCAGUUUACCACAAAUGUUGGUAGAUCUAAUCGGGGAGGUGAAGAAAACAAGAACGCUUCGCUGGAUUUUGGUGCUACCACUUUUGCACCUUGUCGAAGGUAGCAUCAAGCCCUUUGAAGUACAAACCUCUGAAAAUACUAAUAUCAGUACAUCUUGGGCCGGACUCCAGGAAUUAGAAAAAAACAAAUCAACACUGAACAGCCAAUACUCCAGAACGGUCAUUGAUAUUAUGAAAGAAAACAGUCACUUGAUGGAGGUGGACUCCCUUUUAAUUCGAUCCUGCUUGUAUCUGAUGUCAUUCGAUAUGCUGAUGGAGUACACAAAGGAAAUGAACCCAGAGCUUCUGGACAUUCUUCUUGUUGUCACACAUAAAGUUCCUCAAAACAUCAAUGACAGCAAUUUUAAAGCCGCAAGAGAUAUCCUCGGCCAUAUUCAGCAAAAUCUCAUUGAGAAAAAAUACAGUGACUUCACAGAGACCUACAUGAAGCACUGUCUGGGGAUUGCAGUGAAACUGUUGGAGAAGAUCUGCAAAGGAGUCAAGCUAAGAUCAUCUCAUGAGAAAGCUUGUUAUGUUCCUCUGGCAUGCAUGAAUCUAGUGGCAUCAUUGUCAGAUUUGUUCCUGGAGGCUCAAGAAAAUGAUCCAUCAGCCCAACAUUUUGCUAAAGACUUGGUGAUCACUCAGACCAUGAAGUUGGCAAGAUCCUGGAUGAACCAGUCUUGCAAACAAAGUUUUCUCAAAAAUAUUCUGUCAUACAUUUGGAAAAGGAAGAAGCCGGAAUUUGAAGUGAGUCGUUUGCACUUAGAUAGGAGCCACAAAUGUAUCAUGCUACCUAAAUUUUUUGGUUAUUAA